This 497-nucleotide ribosomal RNA is filed under the name uncultured bacterium. Its description in RNAcentral is "partial 16S ribosomal RNA". It matches the Rfam family "Bacterial small subunit ribosomal RNA", at positions 28 to 507 of the family's 1533-position model. The record is from RNAcentral.
GAUGAACGCUGGCGGCGUGCCUAAUACAUGCAAGUCGAGCGAACAGACGAGGAGCUUGCUCCUCUGACGUUAGCGGCGGACGGGUGAGUAACACGUGGAUAACCUACCUAUAAGACUGGGAUAACUUCGGGAAACCGGAGCUAAUACCGGAUAAUAUAUUGAACCGCAUGGUUCAAUAGUGAAAGACGGUUUUGCUGUCACUUAUAGAUGGAUCCGCGCCGCAUUAGCUAGUUGGUAAGGUAACGGCUUACCAAGGCAACGAUGCGUAGCCGACCUGAGAGGGUGAUCGGCAACACUGGAACUGAGACACGGUCCAGACUCCUACGGGAGGCAGCAGUAGGGAAUAUUCCGCAAUGGGCGAAAGCCUGACGGAGCAACGCCGCGUGAGUGAUGAAGGUCUUCGGAUCGUAAAACUCUGUUAUUAGGGAAGAACAAAUGUGUAAGUAACUAUGCACGUCUUGACGGUACCUAAUCAGAAAGCCACGGCUAACUACGUG